This is an RNA transcript of Rhodamnia argentea, 2574 nucleotides long. It is a transcript of the gene named heterogeneous nuclear ribonucleoprotein 1-like, with no coding region annotated. Lineage: Eukaryota; Viridiplantae; Streptophyta; Magnoliopsida; Myrtales; Myrtaceae. The transcript has 4 exons. The record is from RefSeq and is a predicted model, not a curated record.
AAAAGAACAUCCGCCCCAGAUCAAAUCCUACCCGUUCACUUCCUUGACCUCGACAAAUCUCGACCGCCCAAAUCGAACACUGCCCGAUUUCCAUUAUAUUCCCUCACUCACUCAACAAAACCCUCUCUCUUCUUCCUCGCUCCCUCCCUCCCUCCCUCUCUUCUCUCUCUCUCUCUCUCUACAAACCUCAGUCGGCCUCCUUCCCAAUCCUGGUGAAAUCCCAUUUGCCUAAAACCCUAGAAAGCCAAUCGCUUGCUCUGAGAGAUAGAGAGAAAGAGAGAGGGGGAGAGAGAGAGAGUUGAUUUUGUUGCUCUGUAGUAGGAUAGUCGCGAAGGCCUUGAUGGAUUCGGAUCAGGGAAAGCUGUUCAUCGGGGGGAUUUCGUGGGAGACCAACGAGGAUAGGCUCAAGGAGUACUUCGGCCAGUACGGCGACGUCAUGCAGGCCGUCGUCAUGAGGGACAAGGUCACCGGCCGGCCUCGCGGGUUCGGGUUCGUGGUCUUCGCGGAUCCGGCGAUACUCGAUAGGGUUUUGCAGGAUAAGCACACCAUCGACGGAAGGACGGUUGAGGCUAAGAGGGCUUUGUCAAGAGAGGAGCAGCAAACUAAUGCAAGAUCUGGAAACCAAAAUCCUGAUAGAGGCAGUGGAGCUGGUGGAAAUAUAAGAACAAAGAAGAUCUUUGUGGGAGGUUUGCCUCCUACUUUGACUGACGAGGGCUUUCGUCAGUAUUUUGAGGCUUAUGGUCAUGUAAAUGAUGUAGUAAUCAUGUAUGAUCAGAAUACUCAACGACCCCGAGGUUUUGGGUUUAUAUCUUUUGACACAGAAGAGGCUGUAGAUAGGGUUUUGCACAAGACAUUCCAUGAUUUGGGUGGGAAGCAAGUGGAAGUUAAGCGGGCACUUCCAAAAGAUGCUAAUCCUAGUGGAGGUGGCCGUAGUAUGGGUGGUGGAGGUGGUGGUGGUUACCAAGGUUAUGGUGGUUCUAGUGGUAAUUCAGGCACUGCAUAUGAUGGUCGGAUGGAUUCGAAUAGGUAUAUUCAGCCACAGAAUGCUGGAGGUAGUUUCCCGCCAUAUGGUUCUUCUGGAUACAGCGCACCUGGCUACGGCUAUGGUCCUGCCAGUAACGGCAUGGGUUAUGGCGGCUAUGGAAGUUAUGCUGGAAGCACUGGAUAUGGUGGUCCUGCUGGUGCAGCUUAUGGUAGCAUGCCCACUUCUGGUUACGGAGGUGGUCCACAGGGUGGGCCUAGAAGCUCAUGGGGCUCUCAACCUCCCACAGGAUAUGGAGCUAUGGGGUAUGGUGGUGCUGCUCCAUGGGGUGCUGCAGGGGCUGGUGGUGGUUCAACUGGCGGUGGUCCUGGUUCAGCACCUGCUGGUCAUUCCCCUAGUGGUGGAGCAGGAUAUGGCAAUCAAGGUUAUGGGUAUGGUGGUUAUGGUGGAAGUGAUGUAUCUUAUGGAAAUCAGGGUGGGUAUGGUGCUGUUGGAGGGCGCUCUGGAAGUACUCCAAACAGUGGUUCUGGUGGAGAAAUGCAGCCAAGCGCUGGUAGCUACAUGGGAAGUGGUUAUGGUGAUGCAGCUUAUGGAAAUGCAGGAUGGAGAUCGGACCCAUCACAAACUUCUGGAAAUUAUGGUUCUCAGUCAAAUGGUCCUCAUGGUGGGCAGGCUGCUUAUGGUGGUGGUUAUGGUGGUGGACAGACCCGCCAAGCUCAGCAGCAAUGAUUUGUUGUUGACCCCAGUUCCGAGUGCAUCCUUAUGAAGCAGUGCUCAGUUGGAUGUCAAUACUUUGGGACUGGAGGAGAUGCUCGGGUUUAAAGUGCACUCAAGUUUCUUCACAUGGCCAUGGGCAUUGUUGUGGUUUUUGUUGUUAAAAGCUUGGGAAGGAACUUGGAGAAUUGUUCUGUCAAAAUUAUGCAUUAACUCGAGAGAGGCUGUUCCAAUUCACGGGCUAUGUCACUGUUGUCAGUGUUUGCAGAUUCCUGGCAUUUCAAGUCAUGGAUCUCCAACCUUCGUCGAGAUUUGUGCUUCUUUUUGCAGGUCGUAGCCUCAUCAAGCCAGCCACAUUCACGAUUGUUGCCGUUUCUCUCGUAAAUGUCGGGUCUUACUUGCCACCUGCAGUGGUCCUCUUGUCCCAGCCCUUUGUCUUAGGGCUGUCGAUUGAUCUAUAAAGUGUCGGUUGCUGAGAGCCAGCGUUGUCUGGGCAUCAAAAUUCGAGUUCUGAUUUCAACUUCAAUGUAUGGUGGAAGAUAAGCGUGCAUAAUGCUACGAUUGCAACUUCGAGUUUCUGCGUCCAAUUUACCAGUAUCUUUAUUCACGUGUCUUUCCUCUUACAUCUAGUGUAGAAUGAACCAAGGCAAGUACGGCUACCAAGAUCAUACGGUCCCAACUUUUAGCCACGUGGGGCAUUUGGGAAAUGAGUUUGAUAAAUGGCUUUAUAUCGUAGCGGGAGGCCAGUGGUUCUCGACAUGUCGGAAAACUUUCCCGACUGGUUUGAGUAAAUUUUGGGUGCUCAAGAAAGUAACGUCUAUACCCUUUUUGAUCUGGUAGAAAUUGAAAUGAAGUUAGAAAAUCUCUGUUUGCGCUAA